Molecule: ribosomal RNA, 857 nt
Filed under: uncultured fungus
Lineage: Eukaryota; Fungi
Description: SSU rRNA
Rfam family: Eukaryotic small subunit ribosomal RNA
Source: RNAcentral
GUGCCAGCAGCCGCGGUAAUUCCAGCUCCAAUAGCGUAUAUUAAAGUUGUUGUGGUUAAAAAGCUCGUAGUUGAACCUUGGGCCUGGCUGGCCGGUCCGCCUCACCGCGUGCACUGGUCCGGCCGGGCCUUUCCCUCUGUGGAACCCCAUACCCUUCACUGGGCGUGGCGGGGAAACAGGACAUUUACUUUGAAAAAAUUAGAGUGCUCCAGGCAGGCCUAUGCUCGAAUACAUUAGCAUGGAAUAAUAAAAUAGGACGCGCGGUUCUAUUUUGUUGGUUUAUAGGACCGCCGUAAUGAUUAAUAGGGACAGUCGGGGGCAUCAGUAUUCAACUGUCAGAGGUGAAAUUCUUGGAUCAGUUGAAGACUAACUACUGCGAAAGCAUUUGCCAAGGAUGUUUUCAUUAAUCAGGAACGAAAGUUAGGGGAUCGAAGACGAUCAGAUACCGUCGUAGUCUUAACCAUAAACUAUGCCGACUAGGGAUCGGACGGUGUUAUUCAUGACCCGUUCGGCACCUUACGAGAAAUCAAAGUGCUUGGGCUCCAGGGGGAGUAUGGUCGCAAGGCUGAAACUUAAAGAAAUUGACGGAAGGGCACCACCAGGGGUGGAGCCUGCGGCUUAAUUUGACUCAACACGGGGAAACUCACCAGGUCCAGACACAAUAAGGAUUGACAGAUUGAGAGCUCUUUCUUGAUUUUGUGGGUGGUGAUGCAUGACCGUUCUUAGUUGGUGGGGUGACUUGUCUGCUUAAUUGCGAUACGACGAGACUUACCUGCUAAAUAGCCCGCAUUGCUCCGGCAGUGCGCUGGCUUCUUAGAGGGACUUUCGGCUCAAGCCGGAAGGAAGUUGGAGGCCAU